GACGAACGCUGGCGGCGUGCUUAACACAUGCAAGUCGAACGGAAAGGCCCUGCUUUUGUGGUGUUCUCGAGUGGCGAACGGGUGAGUAACACGUGAGUAACCUGCCCUUGACUUUGGGAUAACUUCAGGAAACUGGGGCUAAUACCCGAUAGGAGCUCCGGCUGCAUGGUGGGGGUUGGAAAGUUUCGGCGGUUGGGGAUGGACUGGCGGCUUAUCAGCUUGUUGGUGGGGGAGUGGCUUACCAAGGCUUUGACGGGUAGCCGGCCUGAGAGGGUGAACGGCGACAUGGGGACUGAGAGACGGCGCAGACGCCUACGGGAGGCAGCAGUGGGGAAUCUGGCACAAUGGGCGGGAGCCUGAUGCAGCAACGCCGCGUGCGUGAUGAAGGCCUUCGGGUUGUAAACCGCUUUCGCCUGUGACGAAGCGGGAGUGACGGUAAUGGGUAAAGAAGCACCGGCUAACUACGUG
RNAcentral lists this ribosomal RNA (468 nucleotides) under uncultured bacterium. RNAcentral describes it as "partial 16S ribosomal RNA". It matches the Rfam family "Bacterial small subunit ribosomal RNA", at positions 28 to 507 of the family's 1533-position model. The record is from RNAcentral.